This 481-nucleotide ribosomal RNA is filed under the name uncultured bacterium. Its description in RNAcentral is "bacterial SSU rRNA". It matches the Rfam family "Bacterial small subunit ribosomal RNA", at positions 329 to 802 of the family's 1533-position model. The record is from RNAcentral.
AUCGUAACUCCUACGGGAGGCAGCAGUGGGGAAUUUUGGACAAUGGGGGCAACCCUGAUCCAGCAAUGCCGCGUGAGUGAAGAAGGCCUUCGGGUUGUAAAGCUCUUUUGUCAGGGAAGAAGCGGUGGUAGCUAAUAUCUACUACUAAUGACGGUACCUGAAGAAUAAGCACCGGCUAACUACGUGCCAGCGGCCGCGGUAAUACGUAGGGUGCAAGCGUUAAUCGGAAUUACUGGGCGUAAAGCGUGCGCAGGCGGUUGUGUAAGACAGAUGUGAAAUCCCCGGGCUCAACCUGGGAAUUGCGUCUGAGACUGCACGGCUAGAGUGUGUCAGAGGGGGGUAGAAUUCCACGUGUAGUAGUGAAAUGCGUAGAUAUGUGGAGGAAUACCGAUGGCGAAGGCAGCCCCCUGGGAUAACACUGACGCUCAUGCACGAAAGCGUGGGGAGCAAACAGGAUUAGAAACCCUUGUAGUCCUAGAGC